This 105-nucleotide non-coding RNA is filed under the name bovine gut metagenome. Its description in RNAcentral is "SAM riboswitch (S box leader)". It matches the Rfam family "SAM riboswitch aptamer (S box leader)". Rfam says of the family: The SAM riboswitch is found upstream of a number of genes which code for proteins involved in methionine or cysteine biosynthesis in Gram-positive bacteria. The record is from RNAcentral.
AUUAUCCAGAGUGGAUGAGAGAACGGCUCUAUGAUUCCACAGCAACCUAUUAAAUUAGGUGCUAAUACCGGCAAAGCAUGUAUUUGUAUAUGUUUUGAAUGAUGA